RNAcentral lists this ribosomal RNA (839 nucleotides) under uncultured bacterium. RNAcentral's name for it is "bacterial SSU rRNA". It matches the Rfam family "Bacterial small subunit ribosomal RNA", at positions 21 to 902 of the family's 1533-position model. The record is from RNAcentral.
GGCUCAGGAUGAACGCUGGCGGUAUGCUUAACACAUGCAAGUCGAACGGAAUGCUUAGGCAUUUAGUGGCGGACGGGUGAGUAACGCGUGAGAAUUUGGCUUCAGGUCGGGGACAACAGUUGGAAACGACUGCUAAUACCGGAUAUGCCGGAAGGUGAAAGAUUUAUUGCCUGAAGAUAAGCUCGCGUCUGAUCAGCUAGUUGGUGGGUAAGAGCCUACCAAGGCGACGAUCAGUAGCUGGUCUGAGAGGAUGAUCAGCCACACUGGGACUGAGACACGGCCCAGACUCCUACGGGAGGCAGCAGUGGGGAAUUUUCCGCAAUGGGCGAAAGCCUGACGGAGCAAUACCGCGUGAGGGAGGAAGGCUCUUGGGUCGUAAACCUCUUUUCUCAGGGAAGAAAAAAAUGACGGUACCUGAGGAAUAAGCAUCGGCUAACUCCGUGCCAGCAGCCGCGGUAAUACGGAGGAUGCAAGCGUUAUCCGGAAUGAUUGGGCGUAAAGGGUCUGUAGGUGGUGCUGUAAGUCUGCUGUUAAAGAGUCACGCUCAACGUGAUAAAAGCGGUGGAAACUACAGGACUAGAGUGCGGUCGGGGCAGAAGGAAUUCCUGGUGUAGCGGUGAAAUGCGUAGAUAUCAGGAAGAACACCGGUGGCGAAAGCGUUCUGCUAGUCCGCAACUGACACUGAGGGACGAAAGCUAGGGGAGCGAAUGGGAUUAGAUACCCCAGUAGUCCUAGCCGUAAACGAUGGAUACUAGGCGUGGCUUGUAUCGACCCGAGCCGUGCCGGAGCUAACGCGUUAAGUAUCCCGCCUGGGGAGUACGCACGCAAGUGUGAAACUC